RNAcentral lists this ribosomal RNA (394 nucleotides) under uncultured bacterium. RNAcentral's name for it is "partial 16S ribosomal RNA". It matches the Rfam family "Bacterial small subunit ribosomal RNA", at positions 523 to 918 of the family's 1533-position model. The record is from RNAcentral.
AUACGUAGGGAGUGAGCGUUGUCCGGAAUUACUGGGCGUAAAGGGCGCGUAGGCGGCGCUUCAAGUCGUCUGUCAAAUGGGAGGGCUUAACCCUUUUUCGCAGACGAAACUGGAGAGCUUGAGAAGCAGAGAGGCAAACAGAAUUCCUGGUGUAGCGGUGAAAUGCGUAGAUAUCAGGAAGAAUACCAGUGGCGAAGGCGGUUUGCUGGCUGCAUACUGACGCUGAAGCGCGAAAGCCAGGGGAGCAAACGGGAUUAGAUACCCCGGUAGUCCUGGCAGUAAACGAUGUAUGCUGGGUGUGGGAGUAGCGAUACCUCCGUGCCGAAGUUAACGCGAUAAGCAUACCGCCUGGGGAGUACGGUCGCAAGAUUGAAACUCAAAGGAAUUGACGGGG